RNAcentral lists this ribosomal RNA (651 nucleotides) under uncultured Acidobacteriota bacterium. RNAcentral describes it as "bacterial SSU rRNA". It matches the Rfam family "Bacterial small subunit ribosomal RNA", at positions 8 to 637 of the family's 1533-position model. The record is from RNAcentral. Lineage: Bacteria; Pseudomonadati; Acidobacteriota.
AGAGUUUGAUCCUGGCUCAGAAUCAACGCUGGCGGCGUGCCUAACACAUGCAAGUCGAACGCGAAAGGGGCUUCGGCCCUGAGUAGAGUGGCGAACGGGUGAGUAACGCGUGGGUGACCUACCUUCGAGUGGGGGAUAACGUUCCGAAAGGAGCGCUAAUACCGCAUGAAGUUCCGGGUUUGAACAUCUGGAAACCAAAGCCGGGGAUCGCAAGACCUGGCGCUUGGAGGGGGGCCCGCGUCUGAUUAGCUAGUUGGCGGGGUAAUGGCCCACCAAGGCGACGAUCAGUAGCCGGCCUGAGAGGGCGGACGGCCACACUGGGACUGAGACACGGCCCAGACUCCUACGGGAGGCAGCAGUGGGGAAUUGUUCGCAAUGGGCGCAAGCCUGACGACGCAACGCCGCGUGGGGGAUGAAGGUCUUCGGAUUGUAAACCCUUGUCGAGCGGGACGAAUGGCCCGCGACCUAACACGUCGUGGGAGUGACGGUACCGCUAAAGGAAGCCACGGCUAACUCUGUGCCAGCAGCCGCGGUAAUACAGAGGUGGCAAGCGUUGUUCGGAAUUACUGGGCGUAAAGGGCGCGUAGGCGGCCUUCUAAGUUCAGACGUGAAAUCCCCCGGCUUAACCUGGGAACUGCGUCUGAUACUGGA